RNAcentral lists this long non-coding RNA (668 nucleotides) under Pavo cristatus (Indian peafowl). RNAcentral describes it as "lncRNA (ENSPSTG00000002214.1)". Lineage: Eukaryota; Metazoa; Chordata; Aves; Galliformes; Phasianidae. The record is from RNAcentral.
AUGUGGCUGCUACACCAAGUGCAACAAGCAGAAUGCUGCGAUUGGUGGAUAUUUCUAUGGCCCUGGGAAAGGAGGCAUACUUCUGGCUCCCUUCAGUGUGAUAUAAGCCCAGGAACUCGCCUUUCCUUCCGCAUCGGGGGUGCCAAGCCACCUGUAACAAGGGCAUUGCCUCGAAGCAGGUGCUACUGCUGUCCCUAUGGAGACGCAGCGGCGGAGUGCGGAAGGGGCAGACGAGCUCUGGAUCAAAGGCGCAGGGCCGGCCCUCCUCCCCCGCCCCGCGGAUUUCAUGCUCGCCUGGCUCUGCGGAGGGACGGCGCGCCGCUGAACAGCCCCGCCGGGCAGCGCCAGCAUGGCCGAGGAGAGCGCCGAGCUCCCCCGCGAGCUCAUCGAAAGCAUCAGGGAUGUUAUUGGGAGGAAAAUCAAAAUUUCAGUCAAGAAGAAAGUAAAGCUGGAAACCAAGGGAGACAAAGUGGAUAACAAAAUACUGCCAUGUUUACAGGGAAGGCUGGCAGUUUCACUGAAGCAGUAACACUUGAUUGACUUCUUGGCUUACACAGAAUCAUUAUUGAUAUCAAUAGUGAAAUACAUUGUGGAAGUACUGUAGUACCGUUGUGACCUAAUGGGACCAAAAGGAUGUCAAGCUUUGAAUCCUCAGUGUAGCAUCUGAG